Molecule: RNA transcript, 6956 nt
Organism: Xyrauchen texanus (razorback sucker)
Lineage: Eukaryota; Metazoa; Chordata; Actinopteri; Cypriniformes; Catostomidae
Exons: 2
Source: RefSeq, a predicted model, not a curated record
CUUGGCCCUCGGUCACAGUUCCAGUGCACUCACUCGUACAAUCCGUACUGCGGUCCGGUGUCAUAGACAACACCAUUGAUCUCCGUGCGAGACGCCGUUGAGAGCAGAUGGAGACACUUCAAACGGCCAUCGCUAGCUUAGAGGACAUCGGGCAGUUCAAAAAGCCUCUGGAAUACAAGAAAGAGCACUACAACAGUGACGAUCACAACGAAACAAAUUAUGUAGACCUGGGCAAUCCGGUGGACAUGAAGUCAGAUAGCACAAAGACAGUAAAAGUCACAUUCACAGGCGAAGGAAACCAACUGGCUAUCUUCAAAUGUAAAGGCGACACCCCCAUCUCCGGAAUUAAGAGUCUUGGAGAGCGAGAGGAUAACGAAGAUGUUGAUAACAGUUCAUCAAAUGACAGUUGCGCGGAUAGCAUCGGAAUUGAAAAGUGCUAUUCGGAGAGACUUUAUGGAGAGCGCGGUCACCUUAAACUAAAUGUCCCUUCGGAGGAUGACUUUACAGGUGAUGAGGACGCAGAAACGGAUGCAAAAUCCGACAAUCUAAAAUAUGAAACGGAGGAGCUACAGUACACGGACAUGUACUUGAACAGCCGCUGCGAAUCAAAAGAUGGCAAGAGCGCAGCGGACGCAGAGUCCCACUACAUAACCACGCACGAGAUUCAGCUAACGGAGCAGGAUCAUGAUGUGGACUACGAGUUUGGCCGCGGAUCCUGCUGGGAUUUCGAGGAUGAUAAUCUAGUAUAUUCGUUUGUUGACUAUGCAUCAUUUGGGAGCGACGAGACGACACCUAGAAGAAUUCAAAGCAAGUCAAAGAGCAAUAAGGUUCAGCAUACUUUACGCGCCACCGGUGCGCUGGUCAGCACUGAGAGUGAACUUUGCGAAUCCGACAAAUGUGCCAGCUCGGAUGAGGGCGCGAGUAAGAUCCAACCGGACCGCAGAAAUUCGGCGGGACAUAUUCACCUGUCAAUCAAAACAUCCUCGCGGGCUAUCAACGACCAUGCCACUGUCUUAGAAGAAAAGAAUGUCCGAUUUCACACCAAACACGCGGGCGAGCGGGGCCAUUAUUCGUUCCGAAGCUCUGACUCCAAAAGCGAGACCCUGUAUGACCGCUAUUUCAUCCCACCUCCUGGUCGCCAACACUUAGCGAGCAAACUGAGAGGAAAAGACAUUAACGAAUAUUCCAGUGGCGCGUCCAGUUCCGUUAGUGAACUGGAUGACGCUGAUAAAGAGGUGCGCAAUCUCACCGCCCGGUCCUUCCGGAGUCUGGCGUGUCCUUACUUUGAUGCAAUAAAUUUGAGCAGCUCGAGCGAGUCCUCAAUGUCAGAACAAGAACUUAGUAUUAACAAAUGGUCCGCUUUCGUCGACUUGAAUUACAGCAACUUGACGCAGGGACGCGAGCAGAACAUGCUGGCGCACAAGAACUCUACGCCUAUUUUGGAGGGGAAUAAAUGCGCCGAGUGUAAAAACGUGAUAGAUUUGGUUCCUACUAUUGAACAAAAGCCACAAACUAACAUAUUGUCUCUGAAAAAUACCUUGAACUCUCAGCAGGCGUCCUCCGGGUCGUCUAAGAAAAUAGAGACAAGCAGCAAUCCAGGUGUCAGUGAAACCAUCACACUUACUGAAACCUUAAAUUUCAGCUGCAAUGUCGGUGCAGGCAUACCUGCGCGCGAGAGACGCGCGAAACGCGCACAGAAUGCCGCAAGGUCACGUUCCACAGCUGACGUCACGGGCACCGUGCCAAGUAGGCUGGGAUGUGAAGAAGAAAUUCAGCUCCGUGAAACGGCUGAAACAUUGGAAGAUACCCACAAGAAAUCCAUCUUCGCCUCUAGUCUUUUGAAAAAUGUCAUCUCCAAGAAAAUGCAGCUUGAGCAGGAGCGUAAAAUGGAAAGAGGCGAAAUUUCCAAUACGUAUCCCACGUCACCAUUGGAUCAAUCAAAGGAUCAAGACGCCAAGAAAGAAAAAGAGAUUGUGCAAAGACAGACCCCAGAAACCUCAGAUGACCCCAGAGCUGCAACCGACAACAUAUCUCGUGUCUUAGACGACCAGCCACAAGAGAACCCGUGUUCCCUGGGUGCUGAACACACCGAGUCACGCUGUGAACCAGACGACGCCCUAAAAACUCCCCUGCCCCCCAGUGAAAAGAGUGCUUUCAAAACCUGGAAAGAUGGGGAGGAAGAAUCUAAAACUCAGGGUGAUGGCGAAUCUAAGUGCGCACAGGAGAACACCCCGCCAAACACCUCAUUUACACCCGUGAUGAAAAGCAGUGAAUGUGUUGAGGGCGAGAGUAGUAAGAUGAUUCAGAUGUCUCACUUGUAUGUCCCUAGCUCGCAGUUUAUGCCUAAGGAGAAGGAAGCGGCCGGGAUUUCAUUACAUAAUCUGAAAGCGUCUGGAGAAUUUGCGGAGUCAGAUUGGGGAGGGCGCGGACAACUGAGCUCUGGCCAGCUUCUGUGCUCUGCGGACAUCGAUAAAACCUCACGGUGUCAAAAAGCACCCGAAAUCAAAAUAUGCCUUCGAAGUGUCAGAGAAAACAAAAGCAAUCAGUUGAACAUAGCCAACCAUUUAACUCCUAUCAUACGCGUCAGUCCCAAAAAGGCGACGAACGAGUCUAAAAGCCAUUUGUUAACCGUAUCUGACAAAGUGCCGCAUUUUAUGGUUAGGGAUAUCAGAGAUAGUAAAUGUAAGUUCCAGACUCCUAUUCACCAAGUUAGAGAUGUGCGCAAAUUGGUUAAAAGCUCAUACAGGUUUGUAGCGCUAGAAAACACCUGCCCUACAUCCGGAACGGUCUCCACGACAACAGAAUUACGCGAGGAGGGCAAACCUGUACAGAGGGGGCCGUUUCCUUCACCAAUGGUGAUAAAAUGUCAGUCUGUGAAUACAAAAAGUGUCACAAAACCCCACGAGCCUGUAAACCCGAGAGAGUCGGAGAGUGUGACAUCGGAAUGUACUUUUAAAAGCGACAGAUGCAGAGUUCCGUGCGCAAAGCAGCCUUUGACUGAACAGCCAGAGUUUAGCUUAAAAAUCGAUGCCAAAACGGCAAAGCAAAAAAUGGAAAAAGGAGCAGACGCCGGCGAGAAGAAACCUGAAUCGAAGGUCUCAAACCAAAUAGCGCUUGAAAAGUUAAAGGCGGCUGUGAAAACCAUGGAACAGCUGUACGUUUUUGAUAGGAAUGAAUGGAAGCGCAAAACGCAAGCGCCGCGACCAAUAACGGACAGUCACGUCCUGUCACUAAUCACGCGAGAGGAGCAAGGAGUCACGACCAAAACGGACAUUGAUAACGAAUAUGGAAAAGCUUGCAAUGAGAAACUCACUAGCUCGGCCACAGCCUCUAAUGCUGGUGUUGUGAUAGAUGAAGGUGAACUUUGUAUGCCAGCAGGUUCUCACAGUCAGGAAGAUGCAUCUAAAUUAGUUGCCCAAAGGGCAGAUUCUUUCAAUAACAAAUGUGUGUUUAGUAUGGGCAGGUACCCCAAAGCACCCACCCAUGUAAGUACAGUGAAUGAAAGCGCUCAACAAAUGUUUUCUAGCAGCGACUAUUCUUUUAAAUCCCAUAAAGUGCCUUUGUCAUUGAAACUGUGUCCUGCUAAACUAAAGAGUGUGGAUGGAGGAAAAGGCAGGAGUACUGUUUCUGAGCACCAGCAACCUCCAUACUCAGACUCUGACAAUUACCUAACCAUCCCUGUUAAAACUCAAGCUUCUGAUUCCAAACUCGCGAUUCACCCGAAGCCUUCCCUUCAGCCUUUGCAAUGCUCACCAAUUGUCAUGGAGCCUUGGUCCACAGAGAGUAAAACGGCCACAAUAUAUCACCACGCCGUACCCCUGUCAGGUAUGCCCGCUGUACCUGCCGCCCAACCCCAGGUGCUUUGCCUCACACCCCCUGCAGAGCCUCCAGUCCCUCACAUCCAGCGGAAGCUGCUGCUGGACCCCACCACGGGCCAGUAUUACUUAGUGGACACCCAUGUGCCCAUGCAGCCAGCCGCCCAGCGGUUUUACCAUCUGGAGAGUGGUCAGUACUUGGACAUUCCUAAAUCAGUCGUCCCAGUGCCCAUGUCUGUCUCGCCGGUAACCCUCAGUCCUGCGGCAGCAUGUUCCCCCACCUACCUGGUCUAUCCCUCAACCUUGCUGCCACCCCACACACACCCAAAUCCCCAGUCUCACUCUUCCACCUGCUCAGAGGGCAAGGACACGGUUGAGACAGGCAGCUAUCUGAUGCCGCCGGGUCCGUUAGUACCCAGUAGCACUAAACCCAUUAUUAGUAUUACGUCACAGCCAGGUGCCCAUAUUGUUGCCCCUCCCUCUUUUGAUGGGACAACCAUGAGCUUUGUGGUGGAGCAUAGAUAACUAAAUGUAAGUAAUCACUGCAUUAUAUAUCCUGGUAUAAGUUGUCCCCUACUGUAGUAUUUUUAUUGUUUUGAUGUUGUAUUUCUGUUCAGACCUUCUCAUAGUACAAUUUACAUGUGUUGUCUCACAGAAUCAAACGUACUAACUGUAAAAGAGUUUGUGCACUGUGCAAGUGCGGUCUAGAGCAAUAUACGGGAAACCAGGGUUUGUUGUCACAAGGGCUAUAUCACUGCAAUCACAAGAUUUGGAGUCAAAAGUUAAAUUGUGCAAAAGUGUGUUUUAACUAACACCUUGUUGAAAACCGUUCUAUAUUAGAAAACAAUUGUGAAUUCUUCCCUCCAGAGUACAUUGUUAGUAUCAUGAUAUUUUUGUUUUAGAUCCAUGUGAACAUUAUCGUACCACACUGGCAUACAUUCAGGUCAACUAUGCUAUUAAAGACAGAUUAUCACCAAAAGGUUUUAAUGUGUUCUUAUAGGAUAAAUAUAUUUUUCAUGAAAGUCAGAUCAGAGCAUGUUGUCACAUUUUUAUCGGGGCAGUUGUGUUGUCACAGAUGUAUACAAUUUAUCAGUUACAAUAUUUGUUUGCCAAAUAUCAAAUUUAGAUAUUUUUGUAGUGGCCACCCAAUUUUGUUAUUGUAUUAAUCAUUUUGUGCCUCUUAAUUGUUUUACUUAAAGAAUCUGCUGAAAAGCCUAUUAUAGGCCAUUUAAUGCAGGUGUAGAUUUAAAAGCAGUCGGAGAUUUUGUUUUGAUGAUUUUGAUAUCAUGAAACAUGCGGCACUGAUUUAAUGCUGGUUCCAUUGUGACAACUUACCUCGUGUGACAGGUAAGCUGCUAUUGGGGCAUGUUGUCACAAAAGGCCAAUAAGUGUUGAAUGAACUGUAUCUUUUUUUCUUGGCAGUAUCAGUAAAAAGGCUUUAUGGCUUUUUUGUAGCCUUCAAGGUAUGCGGUUAUCCUGACACUGACUUUCAAAAAUAACCUACCCUGAAAAAUAUUCUCAGUCUCCCAUACAUAUCUGUACAAAGUAAGAAAAGCAAAUUCAUAUUACAAUGUGGUGACUCAGAAUACCUAUAUAUAUAUAGUAAAAUUGAAUGCCAUUCAAUUUAGCCAUUAUUAAUAGAAUAGCAGUAAUAAGGAAAAGGGAAUGUAAGUAUUAUUAUUUUGUGUGGACUGAAAAAAAAAGACUUGACUAAGAGAAAUGUGUGUUGUCUAUCAAUUUAUACUUUUGUGUUUGUGUUUAUCUAUGGGGGUUUUGAGAGAAAGGGUGUGCUCUGUUGUACUCUUUACAUUAGAGAAAAUGUACUAUAGUAGGUCACCUGGUUAUUCCAUGCAUACUGAAUAUUUGCAUACUGUGCACAUUAUGCAUACUAUAUACCCCAACAAUAUAGAGUAGUAUAGUAUAAUUCUAAAUGGCUCAACAGUGUGAAAUGUUUUUUUUUUUUACUGUCUUUGAUAUGCAUGUGUGUGCUUGUUUAUGAGCUUAUCAAUGUGAACAUUUAUGGCCAUUUGAGAUUAGUUAGUAUUUAGGAUUUUGUGUAGUUGUUUGUAGCAUGUGUGUGUGUUUAUGACAUUUAUUCACAUUUGCAUUUUUAACAGGAACACAUUGGAUGAGGCAGAAUGCAGGAGGAAUACCAUCCUUUUAAUGCCAUGAUGGUCUGUGUGUUUUUAGGGCUGUGUCCUUUUCCCUUCCACAUCAUCAAACAUUUCCCACACGUUUCGCACUUUCCCACACUUAUCUUCGUCAAUUCCUACCUGCUGUUGCCCCCAGAUCUGUGACUUUUGGAACGUUUCCACUAAAGACGAACAACUGUAAUAUACUGAAGCAGUUUUACAAACCUUUUUAAAAAACUUUUUCUUUUCUUAUGAGACAUUAUGAGAACCAUUUUUGUUGCCUAUUUAGACUUCUUUAAGCACUACAUACUUAAAGGAAAUUAUGUUCAUUACAUUUUCAUCUUGUAUAUAGUGUUUUCAUUCUCAAGGUACUGUUUUAAUUUACCAUGUACGUUUUGAUUGUGUAAAGCAUGGUGUGUGUGUGUGUGUGUGAGAGAGAGAGAGAGGAGAAGGGGAAUAAGAGAGUGACAGUGUUUUGUGUAUGAUUGUGAGAUAAAGUGACAGAACUAGGGGAGUGUCUGUUUUCUCUAUCUGUGAUUUGUGAGAGCAGUUUCAUAAGAUUAUAAAUUUAUAGGGCAAUGAGCAAUUAUGUACAGUGUCAAUGAAUAAUGACUCAUAUUCAUAUUGUUAUAAUGGAGUUGAAAACACUUCAACACAUUUAGUAAGUAAUUCAGAAUCGUAGCCAAAUCUUCAUGCUCUAGGUUACCUCUGUUUGUAGUGCAGGCAUGUUGCAGUCUCAUGGUAUUUUGCCUCCACAUUUCUCAUUCUCUUCUUUUGGUUUUCUUUCUUUUUACCCUUCCUUUCCAUCAUCUGUCCUCCUGUUUCAUUUUCUUCUAUUUUUUAUUUUGUUACAUUGAUCAUACAUUAAAGAUAUAUGGAUCUGCAGGCCAGUCUAUAUACCACUUAUAAGGAAUGCAUUGUUGUUAUUGUCAGUGCUGGCAAAUAUGUUUAUUAUAAAUGUGCUAUUCAAAUUAAGUCUGUAUAGUUGGAAAGUCCAUAAAGAAGACAC